AAACCGGUUUACUUGCAUUGCUAUGAAACCAUGAAUAGAAAUUUAAUUACUUUGAUGAAUAGCCAUCGUAAUGGCUUUUAAAUGGAAGUUUUCAUUAUGAUCGCCACUUAUUUGAUUUUUGUAACUAAUUUCUGUUGGAAUGUAUGUGUAAUCUCAGGCAACUGGAAGACCUUAAGACCAAGCUGAUAGUCAUUCGUAACCCGAUAUAGAAUUUAGAAUAGCUGGAUUUUCUAAUGAAUCACUCGAUAAGUAGAAAUCAACUGAGUGAGAAACUAGAGGAGUAUCUCAGGCUUUCUGAAGGUUUGAUGUGGGUCUGCUAAUGCCAGGUUGACAAUUAUUUACUCAGGUGUGAAUAGCGCUUUCUAGAUCAAGAUAAUGACUGGUAGGUAUUAAACUUGAAUCACUUAAUCUCGAGGAGAUAAAAACAACAAGAGAGUGGAGGGAUGGGGGACGAAAACCAAUCUCGCCAUUUUUGCAUGGAAGAGAGGGCUUUGUAAAAAAUUUAAAAAAAAAUAUGUUAUUUUGUUUUAUAAUACUCAAUUUGACAAAUUAUAAAAAUGA
Molecule: long non-coding RNA, 561 nt
Organism: Gordionus sp. m RMFG-2023
Lineage: Eukaryota; Metazoa; Nematomorpha; Gordioida; Chordodea; Parachordodidae
Exons: 3
Source: RefSeq, a predicted model, not a curated record